GACGAACGCUGGCGGCGUGCUUAACACAUGCAAGUCGAACGAUGAAGCUAGAGCUUGCUCUGGUGGAUUAGUGGCGAACGGGUGAGUAACACGUGAGUAACCUGCCCCGAACUCUGGGAUAACUGCUGGAAACGGUAGCUAAUACCGGAUAUGACCAACGAAGGCAUCUUCUGUUGGUGGAAAGAAUUUCGGUUCGGGAUGGACUCGCGGCCCAUCAGCUUGUUGGUGAGGUAACGGCUCACCAAGGCGACGACGGGUAGCCGGCCUGAGAGGGUGAUCGGCCACACUGGGACUGAGACACGGCCCAGACUCCUACGGGAGGCAGCAGUGGGGAAUAUUGCACCAUGGGCGCAAGCCUGAUGCAGCAACGCCGCGUGAGGGACGACGGCCUUCGGGUUGUAAAGCUCUGUCGCAGGGGAAUAACACAAUGAAUGUACCCUGUAAGAAAGGAUCGGCUAACUCCGUGCCAGCCGCCGCAGUAA
Molecule: ribosomal RNA, 482 nt
Filed under: uncultured bacterium
Lineage: Bacteria
Description: partial 16S ribosomal RNA
Rfam family: Bacterial small subunit ribosomal RNA
Source: RNAcentral